RNAcentral lists this unclassified non-coding RNA (458 nucleotides) under Hevea brasiliensis (rubber tree). The record is from RNAcentral. Lineage: Eukaryota; Viridiplantae; Streptophyta; Magnoliopsida; Malpighiales; Euphorbiaceae.
UCUAUAUUUCAUCCAUCUAAAUUGGUACAGAUUUCACACUUAGAAAGUUUGUGAUGCCACAAUUCAUGUAUUUAUAAGCUGAGAAUUAAGGCAAUGCAGGUGGAAAAAUGCCUGAUAGAUAUGAGUAUUCAUAAAGCUUAGUUCCCCAUAAAAUUAGGACCUUUAUAUUGAGACUCUGGUGGUAUUUGCCGUUCUCUCUCUUUGAGAUAGUUAAGAAGUGUUGGCUGCUCCUGUCUAAAGUCCAUUCCAGUGCCACAUACAUACGGGGAUGCUCUUUCGUAACCAAGAAAAUGUUUACCCAUUAUUUGUUCCUCUGCACCAUAGGCAAGAGGAGGACUUGGAUGCAACUGUGGGCUCUCCAAGUACACCAUGGGACUAGAAGCCAAGUGAUUUCCCCACUGAUCUAAGACAUCAAACCUGGUAAGGUUGGUCGCGUUCAGGUUUCCAUAGGUUGCUGG